GCAUAGCCGUAAACAUUGAUGAAAAAUAAUACCCAACAUCCGCCCGGGAACUACAAACACUAGUUUAAAACCCAAAGGACUUGGCGGUGCUUUAGACCCCCCUAGAGGAGCCUGUUCUAGAACUGAUAACCCCCGUUAAACCUCACCCCCCCUUGUUAUUUCCGCCUAUAUACCGCCGUCGUCAGCUUACCCUGUGAAGGUAAAAUAGUGAGCAAAACCAGUAUAACUCAAAACGUCAGGUCGAGGUGUAGUAUAUGGGGGGGAAAGAAAUGGGCUACAUUCGUUAAUUUACGAAUUACGAAUAAUUUAUUGAAAUAUAAAUUUGAAGGAGGAUUUAGCAGUAAAAGGAAAAUAGAGUGUUCCUUUGAAACCGGCCCUGAAGCGCG
RNAcentral lists this ribosomal RNA (386 nucleotides) under Trachyrhamphus bicoractatus. RNAcentral describes it as "partial 12S ribosomal RNA". It matches the Rfam family "Bacterial small subunit ribosomal RNA", at positions 794 to 1383 of the family's 1533-position model. The record is from RNAcentral. Lineage: Eukaryota; Metazoa; Chordata; Actinopteri; Syngnathiformes; Syngnathidae.